AGAUUGAACGCUGGCGGCAUGCCUUACACAUGCAAGUCGAACGGCAGCAUGACGUGUAGCAAUACACGUUGAUGGCGAGUGGCGAACGGGUGAGUAAUAUAUCGGAACGUGUCCUGUAGCGGGGGAUAACCUAUCGAAAGAUGGACUAAUACCGCAUACGCUCUACGGAGGAAAGCGGGGGUCGCAAGACCUCGCACUAUAGGAGCGGCCGAUAUCGGAUUAGCUAGUUGGCGGGGUAAAAGCCCACCAAGGCGACGAUCCGUAGCUGGUCUGAGAGGAUGAUCAGCCACACUGGAACUGAGACGACGGUCCAGACUCCUACGGGAGCAGCAGUGGGAAUUUGGACAGUGGGCGCAAGCCUGAUCCAGCCAUGCCGCGUAGAGGUGAAACGUAGGCCUUCGGGUUAGUAAACGCUUCGUUUACGGACAGGUAACGAAAUUGGUUACGUUAGUUAAACGUACCGAACGGAGUUAGA
RNAcentral lists this ribosomal RNA (475 nucleotides) under uncultured soil bacterium. RNAcentral's name for it is "bacterial SSU rRNA". It matches the Rfam family "Bacterial small subunit ribosomal RNA", at positions 26 to 491 of the family's 1533-position model. The record is from RNAcentral.